RNAcentral lists this ribosomal RNA (844 nucleotides) under Salmonella enterica subsp. enterica serovar Krefeld. RNAcentral describes it as "partial 23S ribosomal RNA". It matches the Rfam family "Bacterial large subunit ribosomal RNA", at positions 1 to 878 of the family's 2925-position model. Lineage: Bacteria; Pseudomonadati; Pseudomonadota; Gammaproteobacteria; Enterobacterales; Enterobacteriaceae. The record is from RNAcentral.
GGGUUGUGAGGUUAAGCGACUAAGCGUACACGGUGGAUGCCCUGGCAGUCAGAGGCGAUGAAGGACGUGCUAAUCUGCGAUAAGCGCCGGUAAGGUGAUAUGAACCGUUAUAACCGGCGAUUUCCGAAUGGGGAAACCCAGUGUGAUUCGUCACACUAUCAUUAACUGAAUCCAUAGGUUAAUGAGGCGAACCGGGGGAACUGAAACAUCUAAGUACCCCGAGGAAAAGAAAUCAACCGAGAUUCCCCCAGUAGCGGCGAGCGAACGGGGAGGAGCCCAGAGCCUGAAUCAGCAUGUGUGUUAGUGGAAGCGUCUGGAAAGGCGCGCGAUACAGGGUGACAGCCCCGUACACAAAAAUGCACAUGCUGUGAGCUCGAUGAGUAGGGCGGGACACGUGGUAUCCUGUCUGAAUAUGGGGGGACCAUCCUCCAAGGCUAAAUACUCCUGACUGACCGAUAGUGAACCAGUACCGUGAGGGAAAGGCGAAAAGAACCCCGGCGAGGGGAGUGAAAAAGAACCUGAAACCGUGUACGUACAAGCAGUGGGAGCACCCUUUGGGGUGUGACUGCGUACCUUUUGUAUAAUGGGUCAGCGACUUAUAUUCUGUAGCAAGGUUAACCGAAUAGGGGAGCCGUAGGGAAACCGAGUCUUAACCGGGCGUUAAGUUGCAGGGUAUAGACCCGAAACCCGGUGAUCUAGCCAUGGGCAGGUUGAAGGUUGGGUAACACUAACUGGAGGACCGAACCGACUAAUGUUGAAAAAUUAGCGGAUGACCUGUGGCUGGGGGUGAAAGGCCAAUCAAACCGGGAGAUAGCUGGUUCUCCCCGAAAGCUAUUUAGGUAGC